RNAcentral lists this ribosomal RNA (251 nucleotides) under uncultured bacterium. RNAcentral's name for it is "partial 16S ribosomal RNA". It matches the Rfam family "Bacterial small subunit ribosomal RNA", at positions 524 to 774 of the family's 1533-position model. The record is from RNAcentral.
UACGUAGGUGGCGAGCGUUGUCCGGAAUAACUGGGCGUAAAGGGAGCGUAGGUUGCGAUUUAAGUUAGAUGUGAAAGCCCGUGGCUCAACUACGGAACUGCAUUUAAAACUGGAUUGCUAGAGUACAGGAGGGGUAAGCGGAAUUUCUAGUGUAGCGGUGAAAUGCGUAGAUAUUAGGAAGAACACCAGAGGCGAAGGCGGCUUACUGGACUGCAACUGACACUGAGGCUCGAAAGCGUGGGGAGCAAACA